RNAcentral lists this long non-coding RNA (744 nucleotides) under Equus asinus (donkey). Its description in RNAcentral is "lncRNA (ENSEASG00005029236.1)". Lineage: Eukaryota; Metazoa; Chordata; Mammalia; Perissodactyla; Equidae. The record is from RNAcentral.
CCUCCAUGCUCCCGAAGCAUGGACAAUAAAAAUGCUGAAAGCAGAUCCUGGUUCCCAUGUCUGGGAUGACCUCAUGGAACACUGACUCUCCCAGUCACCCAGAGGCUGCCAGAUUUUGAGAUUUCAUGAACAGGAAAUAUGUCACAAGGAACUGGGGGAAAGAGCAGACAACAGUGGCUGGGGCCCUCUUCACUCAGUUCUUGUAUGGCUCCCUCCCUCAAGUCCUCAUUUGUCUAUCUGUUCCCUCAUCAGAAUGUGAACUCCAGGAAGUGUUGCCUAGUGCUGAGAAUACUGCAUGGCCCAUACGGAUUCUCAGAAUGACUUAAGAUGAGCCCUCCAUUCCUGUGCCCCUGUCUUCCUCCAGACUGGCCCAGUGCUCACCUCUUGAAGGGAACUUCAUGUGCUGUAGAACUUGUAGACAACGUAGGCUGGUACCAGAGCCAUGGAGGAGAACGUGAUGCCCCACCCAACCUGGUUGUCCCAGAGUGGGAAGAUGUAGUCAUUACAGCAGGAGGAAGGAAGAAUUUCUUUCUGUCCUUCAACAAGCCCAGCCAAUGGAAAAUACCACAGCUCAGCAAAUGAGAAACCAUCAUCACCCUGGACUCUUACCCUCCUCCAAGGAACUUUCACAGAACAGCCCUCUCUUCUCCCCUUUUUUCUCUUUAAAAGCACAAUCCCCUUCUCUGUUCUCCGGACUUGCCGGUGGUUUUUGCCAUAGCUUGCUUGUCCCAAACUGAAUUCCUC